GCCGGGUGUGGUGGCGCACACCUGCAAUCCCAGCUACUUGGGAGGCUGAGGCAUGAGAAUCACUUGAACCCAGGAGGUGGAGGUUGCAGUGAGCUGAGAUCACGCCACUGCACUCCAGCCUGGGUGACAGAGGAAGACUCUGCCUCAA
This 148-nucleotide non-coding RNA is filed under the name Nomascus leucogenys (northern white-cheeked gibbon). Lineage: Eukaryota; Metazoa; Chordata; Mammalia; Primates; Hylobatidae. The record is from Rfam by way of RNAcentral.